GCGCCUGCCAGGCCGGGGCCGGCGGCGGAACAGCUUGGGACCCGAAACGCCUCGGCUUUUCUGCGGACCCGCGCCCGGCCGCUGCCGCCGGACGCUUGAAAAGAGGCAGAGUCUUGCUUUGUUGUCCAGGCUGGUCUUGAACUUCUGAGCUCAAGUGAUCCUCCCGCCUUGGCCUCCCAAAGUGCUGAGACUACAGAGAGAGAAUGCUAACGAGCUGUGAAAUGACCAAAGAUCUGGCAGCAGAAGGGAAAAGAAAAAAUAAUGGGAAGAAGAGGAUUUAUCUGACUCAACUGGAGAUGGCUCCCUUCCCUUAUUUAUUGUUGCAUCCUGAAGCUUCCCCCAUGCUGGGCUCAGUGUGAACAAACAGCGCGGGAGAAUGCAACCACUGCAGAGGCAUAUGUUUGAGAUACCUGGCCACUGGAGGUCAUCUCGUCUACUAUAUUCACCGCAGAUAAAGAAUGAAAAGAGAAUACACAACCUUGUGAUUGCUAGCAGUGAAAGCUCAGAGUUAUGACAUAACAGAAUUGGCUCAUGUGACUAUGGAGGCUGAGAUGUCCCAAGAGCUGGAUACCCAGGAGAAGCAAAGAGUGGUUGAUCAUACUGUAAAACUCAAAUGUGAAGGGAAGGCUGGAACCUACUGGAAACUGAAGAUCUAACGAAAAGAAGGAACUUUUAGGAACUAGCAGAGACUUCAAAAUGUUGAGAACUCUCUUUUUUCAUAAGAGAAGAUAAAAACUCUGAUGGUCACACUCAUAAAGACAAAAAACAAAUAAAAAACAAACAAAAACUCAGAAUCACAAGAGCAAAGAAAAUGUAGGUAAAACAAUAACAGAAGAGGUAAAGAAAUUUAUGUGAAUUGGGACACUCUGGGGCACAGAACAGAAGAGGAGAAGAAACAUGAAAGUAAUGCUCUGCACAAGGAUGUCUGACUGUCCUUGAUUCCAAGGGCAUUUAAAAUUAGCCACUGGAUGAGAACCAUGAAAUGCCAUGACUCUUACAGCUCCCAUGAAAGACAUUGGAUGGAACUUAUCCUAACUGGACCAAAUUCUAAAAAAUUUUACAUGAUAUUAUAAUGAGUUGAAAGUUGAAAAAAAAAAGCUCUUCUAGAUUACCAAGAAUAAAACACAAAUUUCUAGCUGACUGAAUUAAUUCUCAUCUCUCUAUAGAAAGAUCAUAGAAAUUUUUUUUAUCAUGCAAAGAAAUAGCUAAAAAUUUACAAAAAUAUAGACGUGCAUUAGGCAGCUCAUGAAUAAAUGCGUUUUUUCCUUUUUUCCUCCAGAAUUUUGUGAUGUUUAUGGUACUUUUCGGCUUUUAAAAUUUUGUAUUUAAUCAGGAUUUAUUACUUCAUUGUAAGUAAAUAUUAAAUUUGUACUCCAUCUUUGUUUGUAAUUUUGUAUAUUUUUCAGUAAAAAGGACUCCCCAGAUUAUGUAAGCUUUAGGCCCCACAAAAUCUAGGCCUGUUGCUGUAUCCUUUCUAGAGCAGUGUUUCUCAAACUUCAAUGUGCAUUUGAAUCUCCUGGGGCUCCUGUUAAAAUAUAGCUUCUGAGAUGAUGCAUUUCUAACAGACUCCCAGGGCUGACACUGCCCAUCUGGGGACCACACUUUGAGAAUCAAAUAUCUAGAACAAUGGUUCUUACCUGGCUGUGCAUUGGGAUCAUUUAUAGUGCUUUUGGAAAAUACAUUGUGUCCAGGUCCCACCCAGUUCUCAGUAGGCUUGGAAUGGGGUCCUACACUUUUUUUUUUUAACUCCACAGUUUGGGAAAGAAGCCUUUUCAUAUAUUGUUGGUGGGAAUACAAAUUGAUACAGCCAUUUUUGAGCUUGAUUUGGCAAUAUCUUCCUUGGAGAAAUCAAAAGCCAGUUGGCAAGCCAGUCUGGAAAAGGCAGUUUACUGAUUCCCACCCGAGGGUCACAAAGCAGGUAUAGAAGGAUGGGCUUUGGCUGAAAUAUAUGAUGGGUACAGGUAUAUUCUCUAUAAUCCAGUAUUUCCACUGCUGAAAACGUAUCCUAGUAACAUUAUACAUAUCAAGCCUACAUAUAAAGUUGGUCAAUUCCAUAUUAUUUGUAGUAGGGGAAAACUGAAAGCAGUCUACAUGCCCAUCAAUAGAUUAUUCAAAUUAUGGAACAGUUUUCCAAUGACAAAACAAUAGCUAAUCUUAGUUAAGCAAUUAUUAUGUUAUGUAAGGUAGACAUUGUUCUACCUUAUUUAUAAGUAUUAAGUUAGUUUUUAUAACUAUCAUAUUUCCAUUUUACAAAUGACAUAAUUUAUAUUAUUGACAUGGGAAGAUGUCCAAGGAUAUAAUAAGCAAAAAGCAAGUAGCAAAACAUUAUGUAUAUUAUGCAUUACCAUUAUAAUAUACUAAAAAGUAAUGCACUUGAUUCUGAUGCACACUCCCCAGUAGGUAACAACUUAUCUAGUGUAAAAAUGAAAGAACAUUCUGGGCCGGGCACGGUGGCUCAUGCCUGUAAUCCCAGCACUUUGGGAGGCCCAGGUGGGCGGAUCACAAGGUCAGGAGAUCGAGACCAUCCUGGCUAACA
Molecule: long non-coding RNA, 2536 nt
Filed under: Homo sapiens (human)
Lineage: Eukaryota; Metazoa; Chordata; Mammalia; Primates; Hominidae
Description: MAP4K3 divergent transcript
Source: RNAcentral